CAUAAACGUUGCCAGCUAGCGAUCCGCAGCUGUUUUUACAUUAGGCUCUGCGGGAAGCUUCCGGGAAACCAAAGCGUUUGGGUUCCGGGGGAAGUAUGGUUGCAAAGCUGAAACUUAAAGGAAUUGACGGAAGGGCACCACCAGGAGUGGAGCCUGCGGCUUAAUUUGACUCAACACGGGAAAUCUCACCAGGCCCGGACACGGGAAGGAUUGACAGAUUGAGAGCUCUUUCCCGAUUCGGUGGGUGGUGGUGCAUGGCCGUUCUUAGUUGGUGGAGUGAUUUGUCUGGUUAAUUCCGAUAACGAACGAGACUCUGUCCUGUUAAAUAGUUCCAGCUUCCUCUGAUGCGCUGGAAAUUUUUUUUAGAGGGACUGGCGGCGUCUAGCCGCACGAGAUUGAGCAAUAACAGGCAUGUGAUGCCCUUAGAUGUUCUGGGCCGCACGCGCGUUACACUGAAGGGAUCAGCGUGUCUUCCCUUCCCGAGAGGGACGGGUAACCCGCUGAACCCCCUUCGUGGCAGGGAUCGGGGCUUGCAAUUAUUCCCCGUGAACCAGGAAUUCCCUGUAAGCGCAAGUCAUAAGGUUGCGUUGAUUACGUCCCUCCCCUUUGUACACACCGCCCGUCGCUACUACCGAUUGAACGUUUUAGUGAGGUAUUUGGAUUGGGCCUCUGGGGGUUCGCGCCUGUAGUUCGCCCGAGAAGACUCACAAACU
This 713-nucleotide ribosomal RNA is filed under the name Crustacea environmental sample. RNAcentral describes it as "SSU rRNA". It matches the Rfam family "Eukaryotic small subunit ribosomal RNA", at positions 1031 to 1765 of the family's 1831-position model. Lineage: Eukaryota; Metazoa; Arthropoda. The record is from RNAcentral.